GACGAACGCUGGCUGCGGGCUUAACACAUGCAAGUCGAGCGGAAAGGCCCUGCAAGUGUGGUUUGCUCGAGUGCCAAACGGGUGCGGGACAGGAAAGUGACCUGACCUUGACUUUGGGAUAGCUUCAAGCAACUGGGGCUAGUACCAGAUCGGAACUCCUGCUGCAUGGUGGGUGUUAGGAAGUUUCGGCAGUUGGGGAUGGACUGGCGGCGGUGCGGCUGGUUAGUGUGGUAGCGGCUUACCAAGGCUUUGACGGGUAGCCGGCCUGAGAGGGUGACCGGCAAAAUGGGGACUGAGAUACGGCCCAGACUCCUGCGGGAGGCAGCAGUGGGGACGAUUGCACAAUGGGCGGAAGCCUGAUGCAGGAACGCCGCGUGAGGGAUUAUGGCCUUCGGGUUGUAAACCGUUUUGGCCUGUGACGAAGCGUGAGUGACGGUAAUGGGUAAAGAAGAACCGGCUAACUACGUG
RNAcentral lists this ribosomal RNA (468 nucleotides) under uncultured bacterium. Its description in RNAcentral is "partial 16S ribosomal RNA". It matches the Rfam family "Bacterial small subunit ribosomal RNA", at positions 28 to 507 of the family's 1533-position model. The record is from RNAcentral.